This 124-nucleotide ribosomal RNA is filed under the name uncultured bacterium. RNAcentral describes it as "partial 16S ribosomal RNA". It matches the Rfam family "Bacterial small subunit ribosomal RNA", at positions 383 to 524 of the family's 1533-position model. The record is from RNAcentral.
CUGAUCCAGCAAUGCCGCGUGAGUGAUGAAGGCCUUAGGGUUGUAAAGCUCUUUUACCCGAGAUGAUAAUGACAGUAUCGGGAGAAUAAGCUCCGGCUAACUCCGUGCCAGCAGCCGCGGUAAU